RNAcentral lists this ribosomal RNA (253 nucleotides) under uncultured bacterium. Its description in RNAcentral is "partial 16S ribosomal RNA". It matches the Rfam family "Bacterial small subunit ribosomal RNA", at positions 524 to 776 of the family's 1533-position model. The record is from RNAcentral.
UACGAGAGGCCCAAACGUUAUUCGGAAUUACUGGGCUUAAAGAGUUCGUAGGCGGCAUUGCAAGUAGGGUGUGAAAGCCCUCGGCUCAACCGAGGAGUUGCGCUCUAAACUGCAGUGCUUGAGGAACCUAGAGGUGAGCAGAACAGAUGGUGGAGCGGUGAAAUGCGUUGAUAUCAUCUGGAAUACCGGAGGCGAAGGCGGCUCACUGGGAGUUUUCUGACGCUGAGGAACGAAAGCCAGGGUAGCGAACGGG